AGAGUUUGAUCUGGCUCAGAACGAACGCUGGCGGCAGGCUUAACACAUGCAAGUCGAGCGCCCCGCAAGGGGAGCGGCAGACGGGUGAGUAACGCGUGGGAAUCUACCCAGCUCUACGGAAUAACCCAGGGAAACUUGGACUAAUACCGUAUACGUCCUUCGGGAGAAAGAUUUAUCGGAGUUGGAUGAGCCCGCGUCGGAUUAGCUAGUUGGUGGGGUAAUGGCCUACCAAGGCGACGAUCCGUAGCUGGUCUGAGAGGAUGAUCAGCCACACUGGGACUGAGACACGGCCCAGACUCCUACGGGAGGCAGCAGUGGGGAAUAUUGGACAAUGGGCGAAAGCCUGAUCCAGCCAUGCCGCGUGAGUGAUGAAGGCCCUAAGGGUUGUAAAGCUCUUUCACCGGUGAAGAUAAUGACGGUAACCGGAGAAGAAGCCCCGGCUAACUUCGUGCCAGCAGCCGCGGUAAUACGAAGGGGGCUAGCGUUGUUCGGAAUUACUGGGCGUAAAGCGCACGUAG
RNAcentral lists this ribosomal RNA (518 nucleotides) under Mesorhizobium sp. N-18-25-5. RNAcentral describes it as "bacterial SSU rRNA". It matches the Rfam family "Bacterial small subunit ribosomal RNA", at positions 8 to 574 of the family's 1533-position model. The record is from RNAcentral. Lineage: Bacteria; Pseudomonadati; Pseudomonadota; Alphaproteobacteria; Hyphomicrobiales; Phyllobacteriaceae.